AGAGAACUAGCUUCACAAAAGGUCUGUGGCUGAUGAUCCUUCAGCUAAGAUUUCAAAUGUAGAAGAACGAUUCAAAAUGCUAUCACUGUGUAUCUAAGAAGGAUGGGGCAGAUUUCAUUUUACCCUCUAGUCUCCCUCAAUGCAUGCACGGAUUUAUCUGUACGCUAAGCUCUCUGCUCUGCAUCUGUAGCUCCUUGUGGAUUAUAUUGUCUCAGUGAUCAGAAAUGAUUUUCUCGGAUAUGAACACCGUUUCUGGCUCCCCUAAAGUGCAUCCUCCUAAUGGGACCCGGUUUUACACUUUUCAAGUGUCUCAACCUGAUCUCAUGGCACCUGCUACAGUGAGAUUCUGCCUUUCAGGAUAUUGAGCAUCAUGACCUAGUGUCCCCUGAGAUAUGGAAUUUGCUGCACUGACAAAAGAAUUAAAUGCCUGCAGGGAACAACUUCUAGAAAAGGAAGAAGAAAUCUCUGAACUUAAAGCUGAAAGAAACAACACAAGACUAUUACUGGAGCAUUUGGAGUGCCUUGUGUCACGACAUGAAAGGUCACUAAGAAUGACGGUGGUAAAACGGCAAGCCCAGUCUCCCUCAGGAGUAUCCAGUGAAGUUGAAGUUCUCAAGGCACUGAAAUCUUUGUUUGAGCACCACAAGGCCUUGGAUGAAAAGGUAAGGGAGCGACUGAGGGUUUCUUUAGAAAGAGUCUCUGCACUGGAAGAAGAACUAGCUGCUGCUAAUCAGGAGAUUGUUGCCUUGCGUGAACAAAAUGUUCAUAUACAAAGAAAAAUGGCAUCAAGUGAGGGAUCCACAGAGUCAGAACAUCUUGAAGGGAUGGAACCUGGACAGAAAGUCCAUGAGAAGCGUUUGUCCAAUGGUUCUAUAGACUCAACCGAUGAAACUAGUCAAAUAGUUGAACUACAAGAAUUGCUUGAAAAGCAAAACUAUGAAAUGGCCCAGAUGAAAGAACGUUUAGCAGCCCUUUCUUCCCGAGUGGGAGAGGUGGAACAGGAAGCAGAGACAGCAAGAAAGGAUCUCAUUAAAACAGAAGAAAUGAACACCAAGUAUCAAAGGGAUAUUAGGGAGGCCAUGGCACAAAAGGAAGAUAUGGAAGAAAGAAUUACAACCCUUGAAAAGCGUUACCUCAGUGCUCAGAGAGAAUCUACCUCCAUACAUGACAUGAAUGAUAAACUAGAAAAUGAGUUAGCAAAUAAAGAAGCUAUCCUACGGCAGAUGGAAGAGAAAAACAGACAUUGUUUUUCAUGUUUUAUUGUAAUAUACUAGGCAUUUAUGUAUUACUGUGCAUUUCUUUUUAAAUGUGUAAGUCUUAUGUAAAUGGAUAUAAAUAUGAUUUUUUAAAAAAUAAAAUAUAUGGUUCAUGGAGUCUCGAGUGCAAACAUUUGACAAUUCCAAGUACUGUUUGUAUUUUACCAUUCCAUCAUUUUUACAGUUUUUGAAUUGUUAAUAGUCAAAUCAAUAUGUUUCCUUGAAGCAUGUUUCAUGCUUCAACGUGUUUCUCCUUCAAGUCUGUCAAUACUUAAGCUGAAC
This 1538-nucleotide small RNA is filed under the name Pongo abelii (Sumatran orangutan). RNAcentral's name for it is "processed transcript". The record is from RNAcentral. Lineage: Eukaryota; Metazoa; Chordata; Mammalia; Primates; Hominidae.